UGCGCUGCUCUGCGCCCAAACGGACGUCGUGCCCGGAACCGUGGGCUCAGAGCAGGCACAGC
RNAcentral lists this microRNA precursor (62 nucleotides) under Gallus gallus (chicken). RNAcentral describes it as "Gga-Mir-1669_pre stem-loop". The record is from RNAcentral. Lineage: Eukaryota; Metazoa; Chordata; Aves; Galliformes; Phasianidae.